Molecule: ribosomal RNA, 450 nt
Filed under: uncultured bacterium
Lineage: Bacteria
Description: partial 16S ribosomal RNA
Rfam family: Bacterial small subunit ribosomal RNA
Source: RNAcentral
GUGGGGAAUAUUGGACAAUGGGCGAAAGCCUGAUCCAGCCAUGCCGCGUGUGUGAAGAAGGUCUUCGGAUUGUAAAGCACUUUAAGUUGGGAGGAAGGGCAGUAAGUUAAUACCUUGCUGUUUUGACGUUACCAACAGAAUAAGCACCGGCUAACUUCGUGCCAGCAGCCGCGGUAAUACGAAGGGUGCAAGCGUUAAUCGGAAUUACUGGGCGUAAAGCGCGCGUAGGUGGUUCAGCAAGUUGGAGGUGAAAUCCCCGGGCUCAACCUGGGAACUGCCUCCAAAACUGCAUGACUAGAGUACGGUAGAGGGUAGUGGAAUUUCCUGUGUAGCAGUGAAAUGCGUAGAUAUAGGAAGGAACACCAGUGGCGAAGGCGACUACCUGGACUGAUACUGACACUGAGGUGCGAAAGCGUGGGGAGCAAACAGGAUUAGAAACCCGAGUAGUCC